UACGUAGGUGGCAAGCGUUGUCCGGAUUUAUUGGGUUUAAAGGGUGCGUAGGCGGCUUGAUAAGUCAGUGGUGAAAGCCGAUCGCUUAACGAUCGAACUGCCAUUGAUACUGCCAGGCUUGAGUAUAGUUGAGGUAGGCGGAAUUGACAGUGUAGCGGUGAAAUGCAUAGAUAUUGUCAAGAACACCAAUUGCGAAGGCAGCUUACUAAAGUAUAACUGACGCUGAGGCACGAAAAGUGCGGGGGAUCAAAACAGGG
RNAcentral lists this ribosomal RNA (257 nucleotides) under uncultured bacterium. RNAcentral describes it as "partial 16S ribosomal RNA". It matches the Rfam family "Bacterial small subunit ribosomal RNA", at positions 524 to 777 of the family's 1533-position model. The record is from RNAcentral.